This 22-nucleotide microRNA is filed under the name Eisenia fetida (common brandling worm). RNAcentral describes it as "Efe-Mir-96-P2n_3p* (star (passenger))". Lineage: Eukaryota; Metazoa; Annelida; Clitellata; Crassiclitellata; Lumbricidae. The record is from RNAcentral.
AGGGAUUCUGCAAUGCCUUAGA